GGGGAAUUUUCCGCAAUGGGCGAAAGCCUGACGGAGCAACGCCGCGUGAGGGAGGAAGGUCUUUGGAUUGUAAACCUCUUUUCUCAAGGAAGAAGUUCUGACGGUACUUGAGGAAUCAGCCUCGGCUAACUCCGUGCCAGCAGCCGCGGUAAUACGGGGGAGGCAAGCGUUAUCCGGAAUUAUUGGGCGUAAAGCGUCCGCAGGUGGUCAGCCAAGUCUGCUGUCAAAUCAGGUUGCUUAACGACCUAAAGGCGGUGGAAACUGGCAGACUAGAGAGCAGUAGGGGUAGCAGGAAUUCCCAGUGUAGCGGUGAAAUGCGUAGAGAUUGGGAAGAACAUCGGUGGCGAAAGCGUGCUACUGGGCUGUAUCUGACACUCAGGGACGAAAGCUAGGGGAGCGAAAGGGAUUAGAUACCCCUGUAGUC
Molecule: ribosomal RNA, 424 nt
Filed under: uncultured cyanobacterium
Lineage: Bacteria; Bacillati; Cyanobacteriota
Description: bacterial SSU rRNA
Rfam family: Bacterial small subunit ribosomal RNA
Source: RNAcentral